RNAcentral lists this ribosomal RNA (137 nucleotides) under uncultured eukaryote. RNAcentral describes it as "partial 18S ribosomal RNA". It matches the Rfam family "Eukaryotic small subunit ribosomal RNA", at positions 1299 to 1458 of the family's 1831-position model. The record is from RNAcentral.
UGGUGGAGUGAUUUGUCUGCUUAAUUGCGAUAACGAACGAGACCUUAACCUGCUAAAUAGCCCGGCCCGCUUUGGCGGACCGCUGGCUUCUUAGAGGGACUAUCGGCUCAAGCCGAUGGAAGUUUGAGGCAAUAACA